This 292-nucleotide ribosomal RNA is filed under the name uncultured eukaryote. RNAcentral's name for it is "partial 18S ribosomal RNA". It matches the Rfam family "Eukaryotic small subunit ribosomal RNA", at positions 6 to 315 of the family's 1831-position model. The record is from RNAcentral.
GGUUGAUCCUGCCAGUAGUGUACGCUUGUCCCAAAGAUUAAGCCAUGCAUGUCUAUGUACAACCUUUGUACGGUGAAACUGCGAACGGCUCAUUAUAUCAGUUAUAAUCUACUUGAUGAUUCUUACUACUUGGAUACCCGUGGUAAUUCUACAGCUAAUACAUGCAUCGAGGCCCGUCAGGGUUGUAUUUAUUAGAUAAAAACCAGCGCCUUUGGGCAAUUGGUGAGUCAUGAUAACUGCGCGGAUCGUAUGGCCUAGCGCCGGCGACGCUUCAUUCGAGUUUCUGCCCUAU